CCUACGGGGGGCAGCAGUGAGGAAUAUUGGUCAAUGGUCGUGAGCCUGAACCAGCCAAGUAGCGUGCGGGAAGACGGCCCUAUGGAUUGUAAACUGCUUUUGUCCGGGAAUAAAAGGCGUCACGUGUGGUGUUUUGUAGGUACCCGAUGAAAAAGCACCGGCUAAUUCCGUGCCAGCAGCCGCGGUAAUACGGAGGAUGCGAGCGUUAUCCGGAUUUAUUGGGUUUAAAGGGUGCGUAGGCGGAAGUUUAAGGCGGCGGGAAAAUUGGGGGGCUCAACAUGGUCAAGCCGUGGAAACUGGAUUGCGUGAGUGAGCGAGAAGUAUGCGGAAUGCGUGGUGUAGCGGUGAAAUGCAUAGAUAUCACGAAGAACUCCGAUUGCGAAGGCAGCAUACGGGCGCGCUACUGACGCUCAGGCACGAAGGUGUGGGUAUCGAACAGGAUUAGAUACCCUAGUAGUC
Molecule: ribosomal RNA, 459 nt
Filed under: uncultured bacterium
Lineage: Bacteria
Description: partial 16S ribosomal RNA
Rfam family: Bacterial small subunit ribosomal RNA
Source: RNAcentral